Molecule: non-coding RNA, 46 nt
Filed under: Schistosoma margrebowiei
Lineage: Eukaryota; Metazoa; Platyhelminthes; Trematoda; Strigeidida; Schistosomatidae
Source: RNAcentral
CCACUGCUGAGAAGUCCUAGAAUAAGACGAAACGGCCGUUCAGUGC